This 725-nucleotide ribosomal RNA is filed under the name uncultured bacterium. Its description in RNAcentral is "bacterial SSU rRNA". It matches the Rfam family "Bacterial small subunit ribosomal RNA", at positions 8 to 739 of the family's 1533-position model. The record is from RNAcentral.
AGAGUUUGAUCCUGGCUCAGAUUGAACGCUGGCGGCAUGCCUAACACAUGCAAGUCGAACGAGGGUAGCAAUACUCUAGUGGCGGACGGGUGAGGAAUACAUAGGAAUUUGCCCUUAAGUGGGGGAUAACCCGGGGAAACCCGGAUUAAUACCGCAUGAUCUCGAGAGAGCAAAGCAGGGGACCGCAAGGCCUUGCGCUUUUGGAGAAGCCUAUGUCGGAUUAGCUUGUUGGUGAGGUAAUGGCUCACCAAGGCCGCGAUCCGUAACUGGUCUGAGAGGAUGAUCAGUCACACCGGAACUGAGACACGGUCCGGACUCCUACGGGAGGCAGCAGUGGGGAAUAUUGGACAAUGGGCGAAAGCCUGAUCCAGCAAUGCCGCGUGUGUGAAGAAGGCCUUCGGGUUGUAAAGCACUUUAGGCUGGAAAGAAAAAACUUUCUCUAAUACAGGAAGUCUUGACGGUACCAGCAGAAUAAGCACCGGCUAACUCUGUGCCAGCAGCCGCGGUAAUACAGAGGGUGCAAGCGUUAAUCGGAUUUACUGGGCGUAAAGCGUGCGUAGGUGGCUAUUUAAGUCGGAUGUGAAAGCCCUGGGCUUAACCUGGGAACUGCAUUCGAUACUGGGUGGCUAGAGAUCGGUAGAGGGCAGCGGAAUUCCGGGUGUAGCGGUGAAAUGCGUAGAUAUCCGGAGGAACACCGAUGGCGAAGGCAACUGCCUGGGCCUGAU